Regulatory RNA element from Gallaecimonas xiamenensis 3-C-1, 38 nucleotides. It matches the Rfam family "JUMPstart RNA". NCBI's taxonomy places the organism in Bacteria, Pseudomonadati, Pseudomonadota, Gammaproteobacteria, Enterobacterales, Gallaecimonadaceae. The record is from Rfam.
CAGCGGUUUGGGAGCUGUAACCCACGGGCGGUAGCGUG